This 190-nucleotide small nuclear RNA is filed under the name Macaca fascicularis (crab-eating macaque). Its description in RNAcentral is "U2 spliceosomal RNA (ENSMFAG00000056955.1)". It matches the Rfam family "U2 spliceosomal RNA". From Rfam's summary of the family: U2 is a small nuclear RNA (snRNA) component of the spliceosome (involved in pre-mRNA splicing). Complementary binding between U2 snRNA (in an area lying towards the 5' end but 3' to hairpin I) and the branchpoint sequence (BPS) of the intron results the bulging out of an unpaired adenosine, on the BPS, which initiates a nucleophilic attack at the intronic 5' splice site, thus starting the first of two transesterification reactions that mediate splicing. The record is from Rfam by way of RNAcentral. Lineage: Eukaryota; Metazoa; Chordata; Mammalia; Primates; Cercopithecidae.
AUCGCUUCUCGGCCUUUGGCUAAGAUCAAGUGUAGUAUCUGUUCUUAUCAGUUUAAUAUUCGAUACGUCCUCUAUCCGAGGACAAUAUAUUAAAUGGAUUUUUGGAGCAGGGAGAUGGAAUAGGAGCUUGCUCCGUCCACUCCACGCAUCGACCUGGUAUUGCAGUACCUCCAGGAACGGUGUACUCUCC